Molecule: non-coding RNA, 255 nt
Organism: Camellia sinensis
Lineage: Eukaryota; Viridiplantae; Streptophyta; Magnoliopsida; Ericales; Theaceae
Source: RefSeq, a predicted model, not a curated record
GAUGCUGUCCAUAGCAUUUUAAUGCACCAUGUUAACCCAUUAAAGGCCCCCAAAGUCCAUCAAGGACCAAGGUUGAGAGCUACAAGUUUUCUCUUUUCCAACAACUCUUUUCCAAGGCAUCAGAAUUUGGUGAGGAGAAUAGUUCUAAAGGCUCCAUCAAUAGAGGUAAUCAAGAUUCCAUUCCUUUUUUUGCUUCUAUUUUUUAUUUUUUGUACAUUCAUGAUGUUAUAAGUUUGAUGAUUUAAUCUUUUACUU